AAUCUAUGAUGAGAACAUAGUCUUAUCAUAUCUUUAUAUCUUUCCCAUGUAUCAAAAAGUGAUUCUCCUCCGACUUGUUUAAAUGUAGUUAUAUGAUUCCUUAAUACU
Lathyrus oleraceus (garden pea) is the source of this 108-nucleotide small nucleolar RNA. The record is from RefSeq and is a predicted model, not a curated record. NCBI's taxonomy places the organism in Eukaryota, Viridiplantae, Streptophyta, Magnoliopsida, Fabales, Fabaceae.